UACGGAGGGGGCUAGCGUUGUUCGGAAUUACUGGGCGUAAAGCGCGCGUAGGCGGCUUUGUAAGUUAGAGGUGAAAGCCCGGAGCUCAACUCCGGAAUUGCCUUUAAGACUGCAUCGCUAGAAUCAUGGAGAGGUGAGUGGAAUUCCGAGUGUAGAGGUGAAAUUCGUAGAUAUUCGGAAGAACACCAGUGGCGAAGGCGACUCACUGGCCCGGUACUGACGCUGAGGUGCGAAAGCGUGGGGAGCAAACAGG
This 253-nucleotide ribosomal RNA is filed under the name uncultured bacterium. RNAcentral describes it as "partial 16S ribosomal RNA". It matches the Rfam family "Bacterial small subunit ribosomal RNA", at positions 524 to 776 of the family's 1533-position model. The record is from RNAcentral.